Molecule: ribosomal RNA, 468 nt
Filed under: uncultured bacterium
Lineage: Bacteria
Description: partial 16S ribosomal RNA
Rfam family: Bacterial small subunit ribosomal RNA
Source: RNAcentral
GACGAACGCUGGCGGCGUGCUUAACACAUGCAAGUCGAACGGUAAGGCCCUGCUGGUGUGAGGUGCUCGAGUGGCGAACGGGUAAGUAACACGUGAGUAACCUGCCCUUGACUGUGGGGUAACUUCAGGUAACUGGGGCUAAUAACGGAUAGUAGCUCCUGCUGGAGGGUGGGGGUUGGAAAGUUUGGGCGGUUGGGGAUGGACUCGCGGCUUGUCAGCUUGUUGGUUGGGUAGUGGCUUACCAAGGCAUUGACGGGUGGCCGGCCUGAGAGGGUGACCGGCCACACUGGGACUGAGAGACGGCCCAGACUGCUACCGGAGGCAGCAGGCGGGAAUAUUGAAUGAUGGGCGGAAGCCUGAUGCAGCAACGCCGGGUGCGGGAUGACGGCCUUCGGGUUGUAAACCGCUUUCGCCUGUGACGAAGCGUGAGUGACGGUAAUGGGUAAAGAAGCACCGGCUAACUACGUG